RNAcentral lists this ribosomal RNA (465 nucleotides) under uncultured bacterium. RNAcentral's name for it is "partial 16S ribosomal RNA". It matches the Rfam family "Bacterial small subunit ribosomal RNA", at positions 338 to 795 of the family's 1533-position model. The record is from RNAcentral.
CCUACGGGGGGCAGCAGUGGGGAAUAUUGCGCAAUGGGCGAAAGCCUGACGCAGCGACGCCGCGUGAGGGAUGAAGGUCUUCGGAUCGUAAACCUCUGUCAGCAGGGAAGAACGGUCACUGUGCUAAUCAGCAGUGAAUUGACGGUACCUGCAAAGGAAGCACCGGCUAACUCCGUGCCAGCAGCCGCGGUAAUACGGAGGGUGCGAGCGUUAAUCGGAAUUACUGGGCGUAAAGCGCUCGUAGGCGGUAUGUCAAGUCAAGGGUGAAAUCCCCGCGCUCAACGUGGGAACUGCCUUUGAAACUGGGAAACUGGAGUGUAGGAGAGGAGAGUGGAAUUCCAGGUGUAGGGGUGAAAUGCGUAGAUAUCUGGAGGAACAUCAGUGGCGAAGGCGACUAUCUGGCACAUAACUGACGCUGAGGAGCGAAAGCGUGGGUAGCAAACAGGAUUAGAUACCCUAGUAGUC